This is a long non-coding RNA of Bos taurus (domestic cattle), 443 nucleotides long. The record is from Ensembl. Lineage: Eukaryota; Metazoa; Chordata; Mammalia; Artiodactyla; Bovidae.
CUCUAAGAUAGAGUUUGAGGUGUUUAUUAAGGAGGGCUCUGGGAUCAACACCUGUGGAAGGGAGAGGAAGAAACAAGAGUGGGUAGAGGAGAAGUUGAGCUGUGGUGCAGGGCCAACGCCAUGGGCCUCUGGAGCAUAUGUGCCCUUGAGGGGUGUCCUGAGUAGGGCUGAGCUGGAGCCAUCCCAGAAGACCUGACAGAGUUCCCAACAGCUGGGGCAACGAGUCCUUCAGAAGGAGGAUCUGGUGCUGCAGUGCCCUGACCCCACGAUUUGACUCAUGGCUCUCACCUCCCCCACCUGCUCCAAGCACAGUCCCUGGAGAGAAGGAAACAUAGAGACUGAGCCAACCCUGUAUCCUUUGCUUCCCUUCUCCCACCCUCAACAACCUCCAAGUGCCGCCUACAGACCCCAGGGCUAGCUGAGUUCAGAGGCUGUCUAUAAAC